Podarcis lilfordi (Lilford's wall lizard) is the source of this 266-nucleotide non-coding RNA. NCBI's taxonomy places the organism in Eukaryota, Metazoa, Chordata, Lepidosauria, Squamata, Lacertidae. The record is from the annotation of a GenBank genome assembly.
GUGGAGGAAGAGCUGUUCACGGACUGCUGGCCCCACGACGAGGAAGAGGGUAGCUGGAGGCAGAGGAGAGAGGGAAUUAACUCCACACAAAAGCUUAGAAACAAACUAGGAUUAGAUACCCUACUAUGCUAAGCCCUGAACAUUGAUAGUUACCUAUACAGUACUUUCCGCCAGAGAACUACAAGUGAAAAACUUGAAACUCAAAGGACUUGACGGUGUCCCAUAUCAACCUAGAGGAGCCUGUCCUACAAUCGAUACCCCCUGUU